Solanum dulcamara is the source of this 97-nucleotide small nucleolar RNA. RefSeq annotates it as small nucleolar RNA snoR1. The transcript has a single exon. NCBI's taxonomy places the organism in Eukaryota, Viridiplantae, Streptophyta, Magnoliopsida, Solanales, Solanaceae. The record is from RefSeq and is a predicted model, not a curated record.
GGCAAAGAUGAUAAUGCUUCUUUAUUUCUGACACCUCUUGUAUGAGAAGAACCUUCAAAAAGUUCUUCCUUGAGCACAUUAAGCAACCCUCUAAGCC